RNAcentral lists this transfer RNA (72 nucleotides) under Camelus bactrianus (Bactrian camel). It matches the Rfam family "tRNA". Rfam says of the family: Transfer RNA (tRNA) molecules are approximately 80 nucleotides in length. Their secondary structure includes four short double-helical elements and three loops (D, anti-codon, and T loops). Lineage: Eukaryota; Metazoa; Chordata; Mammalia; Artiodactyla; Camelidae. RNAcentral also lists the same sequence under 1 other name. The record is from Rfam by way of RNAcentral.
GGGGUUAUAGCUCAGUGGUAGAGCACAUGCUUAGCAUGCACGAGGUCCUGGGUUCAAGCCCCAGGGCCUCCA